Molecule: ribosomal RNA, 468 nt
Filed under: uncultured bacterium
Lineage: Bacteria
Description: bacterial SSU rRNA
Rfam family: Bacterial small subunit ribosomal RNA
Source: RNAcentral
GAUGAACGCUGGCGGCGUGCCUAACACAUGCAAGUCGAACGGAAUUUACAUGAAGCCUAGCGAUUGUAAAUUUAGUGGCGGACGGGUGAGUAACGCGUGGGUAACCUGCCUUGUACUGGGGGACAACAGUUGGAAACGACUGCUAAUACCGCAUAAGCGCACAGCUUCGCAUGAAGCAGUGUGAAAAACUCCGGUGGUACAAGAUGGACCCGCGUCUGAUUAGCUGGUUGGUGAGGUAACGGCCCACCAAGGCGACGAUCAGUAGCCGGCCUGAGAGGGUGAACGGCCACAUUGGGACUGAGACACGGCCCAAACUCCUACGGGAGGCAGCAGUGGGGAAUAUUGCACAAUGGGGGAAACCCUGAUGCAGCAACGCCGCGUGAGUGAAGAAGUAUUUCGGUAUGUAAAGCUCUAUCAGCAGGAAAGAAAAUGACGGUACCUGACUAAGAAGCCCCGGCUAACUACGUG